This 375-nucleotide ribosomal RNA is filed under the name uncultured bacterium. RNAcentral's name for it is "bacterial SSU rRNA". It matches the Rfam family "Bacterial small subunit ribosomal RNA", at positions 521 to 896 of the family's 1533-position model. The record is from RNAcentral.
UAAUACGUAGGUGGCAAGCGUUGUCCGGAUUUACUGGGCGUAAAGGGCGUGCAGGCGGUCUGCUAAGUCUAGGGUGAAAGCUCCCGGCUCAACUGGGAGAGGUCCUUGGAUACUGACAGACUUGAGGGAGGCAGAGGAGAAUGGAAUUCCCGGUGUAGUGGUGAUAUGCGUAGAUAUCGGGAGGAACACCAGUGGCGAAGGCGGUUCUCUGGGCCUUACCUGACGCUGAGACGCGAAAGCGUGGGGAGCGAACCGGAUUAGAUACCCGGGUAGUCCACGCCGUAAACGAUGAAUGCCAGCCGUUAGUGGGUUUACUCACUAGUGGCGCAGCUAACGCUUUAAGCAUUCCGCCUGGGGAGUACGGUCGCAAGAUUA